This 92-nucleotide small nucleolar RNA is filed under the name Drosophila erecta. RNAcentral describes it as "snoRNA:GG25997". Lineage: Eukaryota; Metazoa; Arthropoda; Insecta; Diptera; Drosophilidae. The record is from RNAcentral.
AGCUUCUGAUGAAUUAAAUUCCAUAACGAAACCUGUCUUAUUAAAACACAAUAGAGAAAAAGAAACUCCCCCUGGAAACAUAUAUACUCGUA